UACGUAGGGUGCGAGCGUUAAUCGGAAUUACUGGGCGUAAAGCGCGCGCAGGCGGUCGCGUAAGUCUGCUGUGAAAUCUCCCUGGCUCAACCGGGAGGGGGCGGCGGAGACUGCGGGACUGGAGGGACCUAGAGGCCGGUGGAAUUCCCGGUGUAGUGGUGAAAUGCGUAGAGAUCGGGAGGAACACCGGUGGCGAAGGCGGCGCUCUGGACCGAGACUGACGCUGAGGAGCGAAAGCCAGGGGAGCAAACGGG
This 254-nucleotide ribosomal RNA is filed under the name uncultured bacterium. Its description in RNAcentral is "partial 16S ribosomal RNA". It matches the Rfam family "Bacterial small subunit ribosomal RNA", at positions 524 to 776 of the family's 1533-position model. The record is from RNAcentral.